GAAAAGUUCAGACACAGCACAGCAGGCAUGGGGCAGGUUGAACUCCAGUAUUAGAAAGGUCAUGUACAUGGAUGCCACAGUCACCAUGGUGAUGGCAGUAUCCAGAGGCAGAGGUAGCACGUGGACCAUUUGCCAGAGAUCCAGAAAAACGCACUGAGAGAUGAAUAGAGAAGACUAUCAUUGUUUCUCUACUUAACUCCCGCCACAUACUGCCUGCUACUGUGGAAUCUGAGAAAAAUGUAAGAACUAUUGGUAUAAACAACGCUGAAGAAGACCAGACGUGCAUGUGGAGCCCCAUGACGCAUCUUCAGCCAGGAGCAGCCGCACUUGCUCCACUGCAAUCCAGAGAGGAAAGUCCCGAUGAUGGCCCGGACAUAUUGGAAAAAAGAUUUGUCUUUCUCCCUGUGCACUGAGUUGCAGGGUUAGCGGCUACCAAAAGAGAAUGAUUGAAAGAGGCCACAGCCAGGGAAGAGGAGAGCAUAGAGGCGGAGCUGGGUACCUCCUUUGUGUGAUAUAAAA
Fukomys damarensis (Damara mole-rat) is the source of this 519-nucleotide long non-coding RNA. RefSeq lists it as uncharacterized. The transcript has 3 exons. The record is from RefSeq and is a predicted model, not a curated record. NCBI's taxonomy places the organism in Eukaryota, Metazoa, Chordata, Mammalia, Rodentia, Bathyergidae.